AUUUAUUCAGAGCUGCCCGUGGGGUUCCAUCCUACAGCUGGGCUGGGAGUCAUGGAGCACAGUUUCAUUCCUCUUCUCGUAGGACUCCAUCACAUCCCUUCCUUCCUUGCCACCUUGGGGCGUCAAGCUAACAGUGAUAUGCUCACACAAACGGGUGUGUCCUUAUGCACUUCUCUGCAAAGUGGUAGGGAUUACUGUCUCCCAAAGUGGCUCUUAGAAAUGCUAGGGAUCACCUUGCUGGCUGCAGCUCAGCUGCCCACAGACAGCAGUCUGUCUUUGUCUGAAAGAUGAGACUGAAUAUACAAAUGGACAAUGGCCAGGCUGUAUAUAGAACUAGAACUCUGACCCACAAGCUGCACUGACCUGCGCAGGAAACCAACCUCUUAUCUACAAAAAUCAGCCCAGGGAACCAGUCCACUAUAGUCAGACUUGCAAAGAGCCAGACUGCUAUCUCUAGAAACAAUCCAGAAGGGUAAACAAACAUUUCUGUAACGAUUGGUCCAAAAUGGCCAGGACUUGAUUAAUAACUGACAGCUUCCCUAAUUUGUGUUCUGUUUUUAACCAAGGACCAAUUAGAGAAAGCUGAAUAUGCACCUCCAACCAAUCGCCCAGGACACCCCACUUCUAGUUAGCCUGUCUCCAGCAUUCCCAUGCCUGCAGCCUCCAUUCAGGACACACCUGAAGUCUUCUCAUUUUUGACUAUGAAACUUUCCUGCUCUUCUGCCUGCCUUGGAGUGACAGCAGUUGACUCCUUUGCAUUAGCAAGCUCUGAAUAAAUAAAUAGCCCUUGCUUUUUUCAUUUGGCUGGUGUUUUUUUAUUUCCACAAAGAUUUCCUUCUCAUGUAAGUUGCAGUUUUUGGUGAUCUGUGCUAAGGCCUGAGAAUGGACUACUUUAUUUUUCUCCUGUUUUCUAUUACAGACCAUUUAAAAAUUUUUUUCUGAACAUGGGGAACAACUGAUUUCUUUCUUAAACCCUGCUUUCAAGGAUCUGACAUUCGUGGCUGAGCUCGGACCGGCUGCACCCAUGACCCAGAUGAACAUGUUGGCUUUGAGGGUGCUGGCAUCGCAGGUGUGGUGUUUCUUCAGCACACAGAGGUUAUGUGUAUACUUUUAGGAUUGUAUUCACUCAGGAAGAAAAGAAGUGAAACAGAAAGGCCAUAGCUCAGUAGGACACGGUUGGAUAAAAGAAAGGCUAUUUCAAAAAGUGACAUAUAUUAUGUCAUUCCUUUUACUGCAGAGAUGCAUUCAAACCAAUUGAUACUUGAACGAAUUUUUCUUAAUUCAUUAAGAACUUUUAGAAAAAAGGAAGAAAAUGACGGUGGGACCUGUGUCCUCUGGGAGCUGUAGUUCUGGGAAGCCUGUUCCAGGAUGCAAAUGAUGGAGACAAAUUUGAAACCUGUUUCCUCCGGAUAGCAUUCACUCAGGAAAAGCCGAUUGAGAUGUUUAAGUGGUCCUUUUCUUCUUGAAAAAUCCCAGCAGUUUGCCACCAGGCCUGGGGGCUUUAUUAUCCUAAGUGACUUUGCCGCCUAUAAAUCAAAGCCAUAAGUAGCCAAAGGGAAUGAGUUAACCAGAUCCCUGAAAAGAAUGUAACCAAUGUUUCUUCAAUUAUUAGCAGAACGAUUGACUCCCAUCUGGUCAGGGCACCUGUCAACCUGGCCUGCAGCCACGUUACCCACAAUUCCACCACUCAGAGCCUGUUUCCCUUGCAUUAUAAUUUUUACCCUGGUGCAUGUUCUAAGAUGUCAGCCCACCCCAAGACUUUUCACGCAUCCUAGGAUUUCCCUUCCAUAUAGACCCAAAUGGUCUGGCAAUGGAACUUGGCCUUUGUAGUGAAUACUCCAAAUGAUUUGCCUGCUCUGCCCAAGCCCACUUUCCUGGGAUGUCUGCUCAGGCCUGGGGGAUCACUAUCUGAGCAAUAUUCCUUGUGCCCUGCCUCUCUUGUCCCAUCUUAUUGGAUCAGAGGAAACUAUCACUUGGGUUUAGGUUCCAUUGUAAGUAACAGAAACUCCCCCAAAUAGUUGUGUAAACUAGAUGGGCAUAUAUUUCUCUCUUACGUAAAAGAAGCCUGGAUGUAGGCAGUCCAGGGCUGGGGUAGGGACUUCAUCAGUGACCCAGGCUCUU
Long non-coding RNA from Equus caballus (horse), 2121 nucleotides. NCBI's taxonomy places the organism in Eukaryota, Metazoa, Chordata, Mammalia, Perissodactyla, Equidae. The record is from Ensembl.